RNAcentral lists this ribosomal RNA (229 nucleotides) under uncultured bacterium. Its description in RNAcentral is "partial 16S ribosomal RNA". It matches the Rfam family "Bacterial small subunit ribosomal RNA", at positions 568 to 796 of the family's 1533-position model. The record is from RNAcentral.
CGCGCAGGCGGUUAUACAAGCCUGGUGUGAAAGACCGCAGCUUAACUGCGGGAGCGCGCUGGGAACUGUAUGACUAGAGUUCAAGAGGGGAAGCUGGAAUUCCUGGUGUAGGGGUGAAAUCUGUAGAGAUCAGGAAGAACAUCGGUGGCGAAGGCGAGCUUCUGGCUAUGAACUGACGCUGAGGCGCGAAAGCGUGGGGAGCGAACAGGAUUAGAUACCCUGGUAGUCC